ACGGGUGAGUAACGCGUGGGAACAUACCCAACUCUACGGAAUAACUCAGGGAAACUUGUGCUAAUACCGUAUACGCCCUUCGGGGGAAAGAUUUAUCGGAGUUGGAUUGGCCCGCGUUGGAUUAGCUAGUUGGUGGGGUAAAGGCCUACCAAGGCGACGAUCCAUAGCUGGUCUGAGAGGAUGAUCAGCCACAUUGGGACUGAGACACGGCCCAAACUCCUACGGGAGGCAGCAGUGGGGAAUAUUGGGCAAUGGGCGCAAGCCUGAUCCAGCCAUGCCGCGUGUGUGAUGAAGGCCUUAGGGUUGUAAAGCACUUUCACCGGAGAAGAUAAUGACGGUAUCCGGAGAAGAAGCCCCGGCUAACUUCGUGCCAGCAGCCGCGGUAAUGCGAAGGGGGCUAGCGUUGUUCGGAAUUACUGGGCGUAAAGCGCACGUAGGCGGAUCGAUCAGUCAGGGGUGAAAUCCCAGAGCUCAACUCUGGAACUGCCUUUGAUACUGUCGGUCUAGAGUAUGGAAGAGGUGAGUGGAAUUCCGAGUGUAGAGGUGAAAUUCGUAGA
This 557-nucleotide ribosomal RNA is filed under the name uncultured Hyphomicrobiales bacterium. Its description in RNAcentral is "bacterial SSU rRNA". It matches the Rfam family "Bacterial small subunit ribosomal RNA", at positions 102 to 694 of the family's 1533-position model. Lineage: Bacteria; Pseudomonadati; Pseudomonadota; Alphaproteobacteria; Hyphomicrobiales. The record is from RNAcentral.